RNAcentral lists this ribosomal RNA (253 nucleotides) under uncultured bacterium. RNAcentral describes it as "partial 16S ribosomal RNA". It matches the Rfam family "Bacterial small subunit ribosomal RNA", at positions 524 to 776 of the family's 1533-position model. The record is from RNAcentral.
UACGUAGGGGCCAAGCGUUGUCCGGAAUCAUUGGGCGUAAAGAGCGUGUAGGCGGCUUGUUAAGUCUGGCGUGAAAUCUCGGGGCUCAACCCCGAGCGGUCGUGAGAAACUGGCAGGCUAGAGUGCGGGAGAGGAAAGUGGAAUUCCUGGUGUAGCGGUGAAAUGCGCAGAUAUCAGGAAGAACACCCGUGGCGAAGGCGGCUCUCUGGACCGCAACUGACGCUGAGACGCGAAAGCGUGGGGAGCAAACAGG